RNAcentral lists this ribosomal RNA (256 nucleotides) under uncultured bacterium. Its description in RNAcentral is "partial 16S ribosomal RNA". It matches the Rfam family "Bacterial small subunit ribosomal RNA", at positions 524 to 776 of the family's 1533-position model. The record is from RNAcentral.
UACGUAGGGGGCAAGCGUUGUCCGGAAUUAUUGGGCGUAAAGAGCGUGUAGGCGGUCCGGUAAGUCAGCUGUGAAAGUCAGGGGCUCAACCCUUGAAUGCCGGUUGGAUACUGUCGGGCUAGAGUCCGGUAAGGAGGCGAGUGGAAUUCCUGGUGUAGCGGUGAAAUGCGCAGAUAUCAGGAGGAACACCGGUGGCGAAGGCGGGUCUCUGGGCCGAUACUGACGCUGAGGAGCGAAAGCGUGGGGAGCGAACAGG